Peromyscus leucopus (white-footed mouse) is the source of this 430-nucleotide non-coding RNA. Lineage: Eukaryota; Metazoa; Chordata; Mammalia; Rodentia; Cricetidae. The record is from the annotation of a RefSeq genome assembly.
UCUACAGGAGGCAGACCUCCUCCGAGGAAAAGGAGGUGUAUCCUAGAAGAUGAGAAUAUCGGCUAUUCUGUGCCUGGUGACAUCCCUACCUGGAUUCCUGUCCCAGAUGCAGCUUCAGGAGUCAGGACCUGGCCUGGUGAAGCCCUCACAGUCACUAUUCCUCACCUGCUCUGUCACUGGUUUCUCGAUCACCAGUGGUUACUACUGGAUCUGGAUGAGGCAGUCUCCAGGGAAGAACCUAGACUGGAUGGGGUACAUAACUCACAGUGGGGAAACUGUCUACAACCCAUCCCUAAAGAGCUCCAUUUCCAUUACUAGAGAAACAUCCAAAAACCAGUUCUUCCUGCAGCUGAACUCUGUGACCACCGAGGACACAGCCACUUACUAUUGUGCAGGAGACACAGUGAGGAGACUUCAUCAGGAGCCCUGA